Long non-coding RNA from Nicrophorus vespilloides, 347 nucleotides. RefSeq lists it as uncharacterized. The transcript has 3 exons. Lineage: Eukaryota; Metazoa; Arthropoda; Insecta; Coleoptera; Silphidae. The record is from RefSeq and is a predicted model, not a curated record.
CUAAAUCGAGCCGAUCUGAUCCGUGUGUAUGACGGCAAGUCAUCGGCUGAUCCUGCUAUCAGAGUCCUUUGCAACGAAGGGACUGAACUGGAAAUCCUGUCCACAGGAUCCGAUCUCUUUAUAGAGUUCGUGGCUAAUUCCGAUUGGCCCGGCCAGGGUUUCAAAGCCACCUUCCAAUUCCAACCAAUAGAGGAAACCAACAUAGAAACUGAUCGAACGAAAAAUUCCGGCAGUUAUUCUUAUCCCACGGUAAUCGGUCCCAGCGUCAGCGAAACGACUAUUUCGGCCACUGUCGAACCGACGACCACGCAACAAACGUUUCGAUCUGUUGUCAAGGUCUGCAAAGG